Molecule: long non-coding RNA, 259 nt
Organism: Chinchilla lanigera (long-tailed chinchilla)
Lineage: Eukaryota; Metazoa; Chordata; Mammalia; Rodentia; Chinchillidae
Exons: 3
Source: RefSeq, a predicted model, not a curated record
GGCCUGACCCUGCCAUCCAUGAGAAAUGGAGAGAACGCCAGGCCCUCCUUUCUCCAGAUCCCUACACCCUUCAUCAGCGUCUGAAUACUCUCAGUCAGGAAACCCAGACAGCCGGAGUGUGCGUGAAGAUGCAGGAAAAAAAGGAAUCUUGGCUCCUCCCCUAAUUGGACCUUUGUUGAGAACUAAAAGACUAGGCUACUGAUAUACCAUCCUAAGAGUCUCGCUAUGCAGUUCAGGCUGGCCUUGAGCUCACUUUGUA